UUGCUUCGGCAGCACAUAUUCCAAAAUUGGAAGGAUACAGAGAAGAUUAGCAUGGCCUCUGCACAAGGAUGGCAUGCGAAUUUGUGAAGGAUCAGGUGCGUAG
This is a small nuclear RNA of Ursus americanus (American black bear), 103 nucleotides long. NCBI's taxonomy places the organism in Eukaryota, Metazoa, Chordata, Mammalia, Carnivora, Ursidae. The record is from Ensembl.